UACGGAGGGAGCUAGCGUUGUUCGGAAUUACUGGGCGUAAAGCGCGCGUAGGCGGCUUUGUAAGUUAGAGGUGAAAGCCCGGGGCUCAACUCCGGAACUGCCUUUAAGACUGCAUCGCUUGAAUCCGGGAGAGGUGAGUGGAAUUCCGAGUGUAGAGGUGAAAUUCGUAGAUAUCGAGAGGAACACCGGUGGCGAAGGCGGCUUUCUGGACAGUGACUGACGCUGAGACGCGAAAGCGUGGGGAGCAAACAGG
RNAcentral lists this ribosomal RNA (253 nucleotides) under uncultured bacterium. RNAcentral describes it as "partial 16S ribosomal RNA". It matches the Rfam family "Bacterial small subunit ribosomal RNA", at positions 524 to 776 of the family's 1533-position model. The record is from RNAcentral.